Long non-coding RNA from Helicoverpa armigera (cotton bollworm), 414 nucleotides. RefSeq lists it as uncharacterized. Lineage: Eukaryota; Metazoa; Arthropoda; Insecta; Lepidoptera; Noctuidae. The transcript has 2 exons. The record is from RefSeq and is a predicted model, not a curated record.
ACGGUUGUGCCAGGGUACGGUAGUGACAGUCGCAGUUGUAACGAAACUAUACGUAAAACGGGGGAGGUUGUGAGGGAGAAAGACGUGGCUCACAAGCCUAAACACGUUCCCCAGUAUUGCGUUAGCCGGCGCACGACGUUGACGUAAGCAGGAGCCCACAGUGCUUUUCAACAAUCAAAAAUGUCCAGGAUACGUUUGCGGAAGACCGAAAGAGCGCAGUGUGAUAUCAAAAAAUAAAAAGAUGCCGAUGAAGAAGUGAAACAAGGGAUUUCGUACGUGUAGCUCAAGCUACAAGCCUUUCUACAGCUACAAGUUUGAACAGAGCAAAUGUUGUUUUGUUGAUUGUUAAAACUAUGUUUGUAAGCUUAUUAUGUUAAACAUUUCUACAAUAAAAGAUAUUAUAGACCAUUUUGA